This 257-nucleotide ribosomal RNA is filed under the name uncultured bacterium. RNAcentral's name for it is "partial 16S ribosomal RNA". It matches the Rfam family "Bacterial small subunit ribosomal RNA", at positions 1244 to 1500 of the family's 1533-position model. The record is from RNAcentral.
AAGAAGCGAAGCGGUGACGUGGAGCAAACCUCAGAAAGCCAAUCUCAGUUCGGAUUGUAGGCUGCAACUCGCCUACAUGAAGUUGGAAUCGCUAGUAAUCGCGAAUCAGAAUGUCGCGGUGAAUACGUUCCCGGGUCCUGUACACACCGCCCGUCACACCACGAGAGUUUACAACACCCGAAGUCAGUGGCCUAACCGCAAGGAGGGAGCUGCCUAAGGUGGGGUAGAUGAUUGGGGUGAAGUCGUAACAAGGUACC